This 467-nucleotide ribosomal RNA is filed under the name uncultured bacterium. RNAcentral describes it as "partial 16S ribosomal RNA". It matches the Rfam family "Bacterial small subunit ribosomal RNA", at positions 28 to 507 of the family's 1533-position model. The record is from RNAcentral.
GACGAACGCUGGCGGCGUGCUUAACACAUGCGAGUCGAACGGAGAGGCCCUGCUUUUGUGGGGUGCUCGAGUGGCGAACGGGUGAGUAACACGUGAGUAACCUGCCCUUGACUUUGGGAUAACUUCAGGAAACUGGGGCUAAUACCGGAUAGGAGCUCCUGCUGCAUGGUGGGGGUUGGAAAGUUUCGGCGGUUGGGGAUGGACUCGCGGCUUAUCAGCUUGUUGGUGGGGUAGUGGCUUACCAAGGCUUUGACGGGUAGCCGGCCUGAGAGGGUGACCGGCCACAUUGGAACUGGGAAACGGCCCAGACUCCUACGGGGGCAGCAGUGGGGAAUAUUGCACAAUGGGCGGAAGCCUGAUGCAGCAACGCCGCGUGCGGGAUGACGGCCUUCGGGUUGUAAACCGCUUCCGCCUGUGACGAAGCGUGAGUGACGGUAAUGGGUAAAGAAGCACCGGCUAACUACGUG